This is a long non-coding RNA of Pseudophryne corroboree (corroboree frog), 492 nucleotides long. RefSeq lists it as uncharacterized. Lineage: Eukaryota; Metazoa; Chordata; Amphibia; Anura; Myobatrachidae. The record is from RefSeq and is a predicted model, not a curated record. The transcript is spliced from 3 exons.
GUAGGAGGAGGUGAGUCCUACAUAGCAGGGUAUGAUGGAGGGGGGUAAGGAAGACAGAGUGCAGUAUAGUCAGCUGAAAGGCAAGACAAGAUAGGCAGAACAGGGAAUACAGAUCAUCUGGCAAAGAGAUUUGCAGAGUGUCGGGUGACCGGCAAAGAGAUCUGCAAAGUGUCAGUUGAAGACGACGGGAGGGGUCACAGAGGAAUUAGUGACUGGAGAAUAGCAUGCAGUAGUGGGUGAUCCCUGAAUAGCUGGCCUGGGAGGAGAGCUGCGGGCACAUGCUCCAAAUGUUGGGACAUAUACAUUACCUAUUAGGAGAUGCGGUAAAGAUGCCGGCUGUCGGGUUUAUGGCAGUCAGAAUACUGACACUGUGAUCACGACACCCUUCAGAAUCCCGACGUUGGAACUCCGAAUGGGCAAGGAUACAGACGCCCGUAUCCCCACGAUCAUAGGUUUGGGGCUGGGCAAGAGGGUUUACGUUUAGGCAUCAGG